GCUCCCUCCCAGGGUUAGGCCACCCACGGUCACCUCCAUGAGGUCCUUGGCCACCCCAUUGUCCCCAGUGGUGCAGAGCUGACGGGACCUUUGGCACCACCUGUCCUUCCCUGGCAGCACACAAGGUCGGGUGUAUGUCUGAACAGAUAUUCUGAGGGUGUUUUUUUCAUUCAUAGGAAGUGGAAAAUAAAUUUAAAAGAAAGAAAAAAAAAGGAGCGAGAGAAGAAGGGGGAAGGGGAGCGGAGAAAAAAAAAUCUGACAACAGCAGAAGUAUUUCUGAAUCGAACCAUCUUCAAAAAUUGCUCUUCACAAGGGUUUCUAAAUAUACUGGCAGAGCAGCGAGGCUGUGGUGUGUGCAUGAGUCACGGCAGACCUCCUGCACCCGGCACGGCAUCACAGAGACAACCCCGGAGAGAAACCACUGCCAGGGUCACAGAGCCCUGGGCUCCAGAUUCCUGACUCUUAAAGCUGAACAAAGGAGCUUUGAAAUGGAACUACAAGCUGGAGUCCACAGGCCCAGUGUGUUUGUCCUCCCUGGGACCUCCUCUCUCUCCAUUCCCUGCUUCUCCAGGCAGGUCCCAUCCCUUGGAUCUUUGCAAACGUGACGCCUGCAUGAGGAUUUCCCACUCCCUUCUGGGAGGAUGAAGGCCAAGAAGCAGGGUGGGAGUUGGGAUUCUUCAUCUCCAUCAACGCGCAGCCAAAUUUCUGCAGAAAGGGA
This is a long non-coding RNA of Lepidothrix coronata (blue-crowned manakin), 718 nucleotides long. RefSeq lists it as uncharacterized. The record is from RefSeq and is a predicted model, not a curated record. Lineage: Eukaryota; Metazoa; Chordata; Aves; Passeriformes; Pipridae. The transcript is spliced from 3 exons.